GGGGAAUAUUGCGCAAUGGGGGAAACCCUGACGCAGCGACGCCGCGUGAGCGAAGAAGGCCUUAGGGUUGUAAAGCUCUGUUUUAAGGGACGAAUGUCGUGGGGAGUAAUAUGCUCUGCGAAUGACGGUACCUUAAGAGGAAGCCCCGGCUAACUACGUGCCAGCAGCCGCGGUAAGACGUAGGGGGCGAGCGUUGUCCGGAAUUACUGGGCGUAAAGAGCACGUAGGCGGGAACUUAAGUCAGGUGUGAAAGACCGGGGCUCAACUCGGGGUUGGAAUUGAAACUGGGUUUCUUGAGGGCAGGAGAGGAAAGCAGAAUUCCUGGUGUAGCGGUGAAAUGCGUAGAAAUCAGGAGGAAUACCAGUGGCGAAGGCGGCUUUCUGGACUGACCCUGACGCUGAGGUGCGAAAGCGUGGGUAGCAAACAG
This 427-nucleotide ribosomal RNA is filed under the name uncultured bacterium. RNAcentral describes it as "bacterial SSU rRNA". It matches the Rfam family "Bacterial small subunit ribosomal RNA", at positions 356 to 775 of the family's 1533-position model. The record is from RNAcentral.